CUUCAUGUAUAAAUAUGAAGUCGUGCCUGCCCACUGAUGAAUAUUAAAGGGCCGCGGUAUAUUGACCGUGCAAAGGUAGCAUAAUCAUUAGUCUUUUAAUUGAAGGCUGGUAUGAAUGGUUUGACGAAAUAACAACUGUCUCUUAAUUAAAAAUUGAAUUUUACUUUUAAGUUAAAAGGCUUAAAUAAUAAUAGGGGACGAGAAGACCCUAUAGAUCUUUAUAAAAAUUUUUGUAUUUUGUGUUUAGUUGCUUAUUAUAAAAUAUAUUAAUUUUUAUUUCAUUGGGGUGAUGAGAGAAUAGAAUAACUUCUUUAUAUUUUACUAUGAUAAUUGGUUAAUUGAUCCUGUAUUAUGGAAUUAAGAUUAAGAUACCUUAGGGAUAACAGCGUUAUAUUAUUGGAGAGUUCAUAUCGAUAAUAAUGAUUGCGACCUCGAUGUUGGAUUAAGAAUAUAGUUGGGUGCAGAAGUUCAAUAUAUUGGUCUGUUC
This 487-nucleotide ribosomal RNA is filed under the name Miogryllus verticalis. RNAcentral's name for it is "partial 16S ribosomal RNA". It matches the Rfam family "Bacterial large subunit ribosomal RNA", at positions 1833 to 2582 of the family's 2925-position model. Lineage: Eukaryota; Metazoa; Arthropoda; Insecta; Orthoptera; Gryllidae. The record is from RNAcentral.